AAGGGCGUGCUAAUCUGCGAUAAGCGCCGGUAAGGUGAUAUGAACCGUUAUAACCGGCGAUACCCGAAUGGGGAAACCCAGUGUGACUCGUCACACUAUCAUUAACUGAAUCCAUAGGUUAAUGAGGCGAACCGGGGGAACUGAAACAUCUAAGUACCCCGAGGAAAAGAAAUCAACCGAGAUUCCCCCAGUAGCGGCGAGCGAACGGGGAGGAGCCCAGAGCCUGAAUCAGCAUGUGUGUUAGUGGAAGCGUCUGGAAAGGCGCGCGAUACAGGGUGACAGCCCCGUACACAAAAGCGCAUGUGCUGUGAGCUCGAUGAGUAGGGCGGGACACGUGGUAUCCUGUCUGAAUAUGGGGGGACCAUCCUCCAAGGCUAAAUACUCCUGACUGACCGAUAGUGAACCAGUACCGUGAGGGAAAGGCGAAAAGAACCCCGGCGAGGGGAGUGAAAAAGAACCUGAAACCGUGUACGUACAAGCAGUGGGAGCACCCUUUGGGUGUGACUGCGUACCUUUUGUAUAAUGGGUCAGCGACUUAUAUUCUGUAGCAAGGUUAACCGAAUAGGGGAGCCGGAGGGAAACCGAGUCUUAACCGGGCGUUAAGUUGCAGGGUAUAGACCCGAAACCCGGUGAUCUAGCCAUGGGCAGGUUGAAGGUUGGGUAACACUAACUGGAGGACCGAACCGACUAAUGUUGAAAAAUUAGCGGAUGACCUGUGGCUGGGGGUGAAAGGCCAAUCAAACCGGGAGAUAGCUGGUUCUCCCCGAAAGCUAUUUAGGUAGCGCCUCGUGAAUUCAUCUCCGGGGGUAGAGCACUGUUUCGGCUAGGGGGCCAUCCCGGCUUACCAACCCGAUGCAAACUGCGAAUACCGGAGAAUGUUAUCACGGGAGACACACGGCGGGUGCUAACGUCCGUCGUGAAGAGGGAAACAACCCAGACCGCCAGCUAAGGUCCCAAAGUCAUGGUUAAGUGGGAAACGAUGUGGGAAGGCCCAGACAGCCAGGAUGUUGGCUUAGAAGCAGCCAUCAUUUAAAGAAAGCGUAAUAGCUCACUGGUCGAGUCGGCCUGCGCGGAAGAUGUAACGGGGCUAAACCAUGCACCGAAGCUGCGGCAGCGACACUGUGUGUUGUUGGGUA
Molecule: ribosomal RNA, 1136 nt
Filed under: Salmonella enterica
Lineage: Bacteria; Pseudomonadati; Pseudomonadota; Gammaproteobacteria; Enterobacterales; Enterobacteriaceae
Description: partial 23S ribosomal RNA
Rfam family: Bacterial large subunit ribosomal RNA
Source: RNAcentral